UCUCUGGUGGCUCAGAUGGUAAAGCGACUGCCUGCAAUGCGGGAGACCCGGGUUUGAUUCCUGGGUCGGGAA
Molecule: transfer RNA, 72 nt
Filed under: Ovis aries (sheep)
Lineage: Eukaryota; Metazoa; Chordata; Mammalia; Artiodactyla; Bovidae
Rfam family: tRNA
About the family: Transfer RNA (tRNA) molecules are approximately 80 nucleotides in length. Their secondary structure includes four short double-helical elements and three loops (D, anti-codon, and T loops).
Source: Rfam by way of RNAcentral